CAAUAGCGUAUAUUUAAGUUGUUGCAGUUAAAAAGCUCGUAGUCGGAUUUUGGCUGAGAACGAACGGUCCGCCGUUAGGUGUGCACUGUUUGGUCUCAGCUUCCUGGUGAGGAGGUGUGCUUCACGGCCACUUAGUCGCCGUGGUUACUUUGAAAAAAUUAGAGUGUUCAAAGCGGGCUUACGCUUGAAUAUAUUAGCAUGGAAUAACACCAUAGGACUCCUGUCCUAUUUCGUUGGUCUCGGGACGGGAGUAAUGAUUAAGAGGAACAGUUGGGGGCAUUCGUAUUUCAUUGUCAGAGGUGAAAUUCUUGGAUUUAUGAAAGACGAACUUCUGCGAAAGCAUUUGCCAAGGAUGUUUUCAUUGA
This 365-nucleotide ribosomal RNA is filed under the name uncultured eukaryote. RNAcentral's name for it is "partial 18S ribosomal RNA". It matches the Rfam family "Eukaryotic small subunit ribosomal RNA", at positions 592 to 976 of the family's 1831-position model. The record is from RNAcentral.